This 309-nucleotide ribosomal RNA is filed under the name uncultured bacterium. RNAcentral's name for it is "partial 16S ribosomal RNA". It matches the Rfam family "Bacterial small subunit ribosomal RNA", at positions 504 to 810 of the family's 1533-position model. The record is from RNAcentral.
AGAGACAGCAGCCGCGGGAAUACAGAGGGUGCGAGCGUUAAUCGGAUUUACUGGGCGUAAAGCGUGCGUAGGCGGCUUCUUAAGUCGGAUGUGAAAUCCCUGAGCUUAACUUAGGAAUUGCAUUCGAUACUGGGAAGCUAGAGUAUGGGAGAGGAUGGUAGAAUUCCAGGUGUAGCGGUGAAAUGCGUAGAGAUCUGGAGGAAUACCGAUGGCGAAGGCAGCCAUCUGGCCUAAUACUGACGCUGAGGUACGAAAGCAUGGGGAGCAAACAGGAUUAGAUACCCGGGUAGUCCCUGUCUCUUAUACACA